Cordylochernes scorpioides is the source of this 7437-nucleotide non-coding RNA. The record is from the annotation of a GenBank genome assembly. NCBI's taxonomy places the organism in Eukaryota, Metazoa, Arthropoda, Arachnida, Pseudoscorpiones, Chernetidae.
CAUGGCGUCUGUUCAAGUCAGAGGCGGCCAUUUCUUUUGGAGAUAAGUCUGCCUGCCACUGAGUAGUGCUCCCAGUCUUAAUGACAAAGGCAGACGCAUUCUACUUCACACAGUCAUGAUGGACAAGCUUGAUAUCCUAAUAUGAUUGAGCGGAGAUAAUAAAGAAGAAGAUACAAUUUAUGACACUUUCUAGAGGAUUCUUAUAUACUGGCUUGAAAAGUCGUAUUAAAAGGUUUUGCUUAAAAAUAUUUUAUAUAGGAAAAUAUUUUUCUGACUCCGACAUUGCAAAUUUGUACAAGAAUUUGGCCCUUCAAAAUAUUCCAAUGAUAUUAAUCUGAGCUUUGAAGAAACUUCCUAAGACGACGCACAAUUGAUAAACGAUCUAAUGUACUAAUGAUAAAACUAUGAGAUUUUGAUUAAAAUAGUACCUUUAAAUAGGUACACACAUGAUACGUAAAUAAAUUAUACAUUUUACAUAAACACAAUACAAAGUUUACUAAAUUUAUAUCCUAUUCAACAUGCCGUUGUGUGAAAGUAUGUUCAAAUAUAAAUUAUAAACAUUAUAUAUAUAUAUGUAGUAAUCCCGACCAAGCUGAUGUGGAAUGUACUGGGCAGUCGUGGACGUGGGUGCGUGAUGGGAUUCCCGCACGGGGACAGCAAGGAACAGAGGCAGGUCUAGAUGGUAGCUCCAAGAGGUAGAGGUAGACCACGGACGAAGGCAGUCGAACCACGGGCGCCGCGGAUGCCCAAAGCCUACUUACGGAUAGAAGGGGGGGGGGGUGAGAGAUCCGACCGACCGUAUAACGGCGUCACUCUGAAAAACAACCUUGCCUCAUUUUCUGGGCCCUUUUAUACUGGACCCCCGCAUAUGGCGGAGAGUCCUGAUUGGUUCUUGUAAUCACCGCACUUCCUGGCGGCGUGUUGACGGGGUAAUUAAACUCAUUGUCGUCGUUUGGUCUACGUCUGCCUCUUUGUUUAUUUGUUAUAUCCAUUUUACAAGGUCGAUACAUAUUUUUAUAUAGAUACGGGGUUAUAAUAAAUAUCAGAAGAAGGUUGUGAACUAUCUAACUCAAAAUAUACUACAGAAUGUGUACCCGUUGAUGAAGGUUUGGUUGGGGGAAUGACAUGUAAUGAAUGAUGACCUAACAAACCUAUUAUAAAAAAAUAAAAGAAAUAAUUUGUAUACAAAUUAGUUAAAAUUAUUAUUAAGCUACAAGUUAAAAAGAGAAAGAUGUGUGUAAUGGUGGUGUAUCAAUGAAAUAAAAAUCAAGGUUAUAAAAAUAAAACGCACAAAAUGAUUGAUAAAAGAUUAAGAGAAAGUAUAUAAUGCAAAAUGGUAAAUAUGGUAAAAUGAAUCGUACACUUGAUGAUACACAUGAUCACUUGAUGCAAUGAAGAUGAGUCCCUCGUGAGUUGCAAAUGUCCCAUUGCCCAGUUCAAGCAACAGCUGAGAGAAGCUGCUUCCUCUGUCGCCAAAGAGAUGUGACCGCAUAUUGAUAGUGAGAGAUAACUUAACAAUACUACUCCAAAUAUGAGAGCGUUUAAGGCAUGCAUUCACCUCGUCUGCUCGAGUGCCUUUGGAAAUAACCGGUGAAGUUUGCCGGAAGUCCCCAACAAAAAGAAAUGUCACCCCUCCCAUUAUGAUGUUGUUAUCCCUAAGAUCUUUUAGAGUGCGAUCAAGGGCCUCGAUUGAGCGUCUAUGAGCCAUUGUGCAUUCAUCCCAUAUCAAUAAUGAGCAUUGCUGUAGAAUUUUGGAAGUGGCGGUCUGUUUAGCAAUGUUACAGACUGCUAUUUCAUCAUCAUAGAGAUUCAAAGGUAGCUUAAAUAGGGAAUGUGCUGUUCUGCCGCCAUCAAGGAGUGUAGCGGCGAUUCCAGAAGAAGCAGCAGCACAAACUGCUAAACCCUCUAAGCGCAAUUUGGCUAACAAAAGAUUAAUAAUAAAAGUUUUUCCAGUGCCACCAGGAGCAUCCAAAAAAAAAAGCGUGCCAGCCCCCCUAGAGCGAACACUAUUAAGAAUGGCUUCAUAACAAUAUUUCUGAUCAGGAUUUAAAGAAGAUUCGCGGGUUGAAGCCAAAGUUUCUAGCUCAUGCCUAUCAAAUAUGUCUGAUAAAAAUGAUGCUUCUCUGGGUGGUGAGACAUUUUCAGGAAGAGGCAAACCCAUACAUGCAAUACUUUUACCUGAAAUUGACAGAACAUGUUUAUCAAUUUCCAGUAACGCGGCAUUGAAAACAUCAGCAUUGUAAUCAAGUUCAGGGAUAGUCAUAUCUCGUCGCAUUCGGUGCAAAAUAUCUUCAGACAUACACUCCUUAUGAGCAUGCCACAGCGUAAGUGUAUCAGACAUGUGGCAGAAGAUGAGCAUUGUAGAGAACAAUGCUCUCACCGAUGCUGCAUUACGACAUAUAGAUGCCUCUUUGAGAGUUUCAUUCCAGUGAGAGUCGUCUUCUAGUAAGCCUAAAGCUUUGCAGGCCAUUUGGAAGGUAGUGUGGAUAACUCCUUCAACUGUGCGCAAACUCUGGAAAGAACAUGGCCCUCUAAUAUGGAACAAAAGAAGUCUCAAAUAGUAGCAUUCAGCAUUAGUUGGGUGAACUGUAUAGACGCGGCCAAGAACAUCACUUUUCCGCACACCAGGAUAUCCUUCUACAGGAGUACCCUGCUUUCUGCCUAAAAAUUUAUUGUUGGUCCAGGUAUAGAAAGAAGGAACUUCACAGUAUAAUAGUGUCCUAGCAAAUGUGUCUUGGUUACAAAGCUUAAAAAAUGCUGUCAGAGUUGUAUCUCUUGGAUUUUAAAUAACAUUUUCUGCAUUUGCAGUAGUGAAAUAGACCCUCUGUCCAUUUUCAAGGUGAAGCUAAGUGUACAAUAGGAGGUGAUCUUUCAUGGAUGCUGAAACCCAGAAUCCUCCAAACAGCUUCUGCGGAACUUAUAUAGCGGCCAGACUGAAAUUGGGUAACCUCAUCAAGGUGAUUCAAAGAGAAAACUGCCUGAUCAGUUCCCUUAUCAAUGUAUUUGCACACGUAUUUGAUGGCCUUUACGGAGCUGCAGUAUUCCACAUUUAUAUGGGAAUCAAAAGCACGAAGGAGAACAGAAUUAUAGGGCACAAUCCAGCGAUUGUCAAUUUCAAAAGUAACUCCUCGCAUAUUCACCGAUGAAGUAAGACCACCUUCAGCAGGGCACCGUCUUCGGUAUCGGGGAUAACCAUCUUCUGUUGUCGAAGUUGUCUCACAAAAACCUUUAGGAUAUUUUUGCUACAUUUCCCAUCCUUCAUACAUGGAGAAUUUGUAUUCAGAACCCCACAUGGACCAUGAACCAUUUGUUUCAUGACAAUUGCAUGAAUCUCUGGGUCUAAGUUAAUAUCCGGAAUCUCGGCUUGUAUGACCUCAUCAAUUUGAUUAGGUCUAAUGAUGUUUGUAAGCCAAAGCAGUAAAUGCGCAUGUGGUAGACCACGCUUCUGCCACUCUAUUGUGAACAUAAAACACUUGCAAGGCCCAAAUAGCUCAGCCUUAGUCACUAAAUAGAUAAGUUUUUUUCAUUUUAAGGUGAAAAACACGACUAAUCAAAUCAUAUCUAUCUUUAGCAGAGUUAUUUGAAAAUAAAUGCAUCUGAAUUUCUUUCCAUUGAGGGUUGCAUGUAAAUGUUAUAAAAAGCUGAGGCCCCUUCCAUAGCUACGAACAUAAGUCAUUGCAUCUUGGGUACGCUCAUGCAGAUAACGGGGACCACCAGUAAAUGAUGAUGGCAGUAUGACUAUUUGGCCUAUAUUGGCUAAAUUCUCAUAUGCUCGCAGAGCAUCUUGCAGGUGAAUAUAAAUUUCUGUCCGAAGCUUUUUCUGAUUGCGCCGUAUGAAGGAAAGCCUUUCUGAUUCAACCUUAGCAUACAUAUCAACCCAGAAUUGAUUUGUAAGCAUGCCAUAACGCAGUAGUGAGUUAAAUUCCCCAGCACGAGCCAUCAUUCUGUAAGCAUAAAAAUUCAUGCACGAUACAGUCUUCUGCAUUAUUUCUCUAGUGGAUGGAUUGACUUGAGGUAGCGAAACAGAAUAACCGACCUCACCCCUGCAAAAAAUUAACGGGUAUUGUAGAGGGUCAUAUGCUUGAUGGAUCUCGGAUAUUCUUUGAGUCAAAUUAUUACGACAAUGUAAUACAAUAUCUCUUGGCACAAAUUCCUGACCUACCAUCAGCAGAGCUACUUCAUUGGUCAUGGGCGCAUUGUAGCGACGUUCAUGCUCUUCUGGUGGAAGCUUAUCAGAGUGUAUAAUAACCCGGUAGUCAGCGUGAUUUUGAGGAAGAGUUUCUAAGGCUGCUUUAAAGGAUUGAAUAUAAUGAUUGUGCGCAUGCAAUAAAUCUUGCAAAGAGCGAACUAAAUCUCUGUUCAAGUUUGCUGUCAUGUUGCAACGUGCAGUAACCUGAGACUCAUAAUUAUCGAUAAAGUAUAUCUGCAGGAAUUUGUGCUCACUAUCAGGUUCUGGAAGGAGACUACCAAUUACGUGGUAAACUUGGCCUUGGACUUUGAAAGUAGGCAUAUAACCUUGCUCCACAACUUGUCUAGCACCAAAAGAUGUCAUUUGGAAUAUAGAGUUAUAUCUACGGAUAUGCAGCAAGAAGGACUUCGAUAGAGGAUGUAGGCCAGAGAGCAAAGAUAAAAUAGGCUCUGGAGGGGACUCAAUAGCAGGUAGAGAAACUCUACCUUGUUUACAACAGAGGCCAAAGGGUUCAUCUCUAAAUCUCAAAGCAGAGCAAAACUGGCAUACCCGAGACAUUUGGCCUAUAUCGACAGAUGAAUCAGCUUUAUAAUCAAUAUGGGCAUUAUACUGAAAACCUGAAAAUGGCUUAUGAGUCCAAAGCUGAAUACGCUGAACAGGAACUUGCAUAGUUUGUGUAGCUGCGACGCGGGCUUCAGAAUACCUAAGACGGCGAAGCGCACGACGCGUCUCACUUUGAAGUGGUGUCUGAAUAGCUCUAGCAUUCCGUAAUCUCCUGGAAGCAGCCGUAUUCCUACCAAUUAAAGGUCGGCUGCGGCGAGGCAUAUUUGGAAAAAAAGAUUGAGAUUAAAUACAAAAGCUUAAAAACCAGCAAUUUAUAAACAAAGCAUAAAAAUUUCCUGUCUUCUUGAGGUAAAAAUCAAAAUUCUUAAAUUUUUUCUUCAAAAUAACCUCCAGAUAUGUCAAAAAGAUUUUAAAAAACUAAAAGCAUAAUAUUAAUACUAAAAAAUUAAUGUACAAAACCAGUUAUAAUUAAAAAGCCUCAAAAAUAGACCAACCGUCUGGACACGGCAAUGAAAAAGCAUGCUUUUUUUGAGGUAAAAAAUAGAAAUAAUUUUCUAAAAUACAAAAUACAACCCCUAUAUGUUAAAAAAAAAACUAUAAAUAAUCUAAAUAUAAAAUACUUAAUCAAAUAAAAUAAAAUAUCUUUAAUAAAAUUUUGAAAAAGGACCUCAAAAAGACAAAAAAUGAAAACGUUAAAGAAAUCCCUUGCUUAUUAAAAAAUAUAAAUAACCUAUUUUUUAGAUACAACCCAUAUAUGUAGAAAAUAUAAUAAAUAAACUGUAUUUAAAAGAUAAAAGCAAUAAUUAAAAAAUUCCAUAAGAAAAUUUAAAAAAGGACUUCAAAAUAACCCAUAAUUGAACAUACCAAUAAUUGAACAUACCAAUAAAAUAUCUUGCAUCUUAGUGAAAAAAAUAGAAAUAAUUCAAAAUUUGUUUACAAAACAACCCAUAUAAGUGGAAAACACCAUAAAUAAUCUGUAACUAAAAUAUCUAAACAAUUAAUUAAAAAUUUUGUUAAGGUCCUCAAAAAAGACAUAAAAUUGAGCACAUGAAUGAAAUUUCCAGCUUUUUAGUGAAAAAAAGAGGUCCUCAAAAAAGACAUAAAAUCGAGCACAUGAAUGAAAUUUCUAGCUUUUUAUUGAAAAAAAUAGAAAUAACCCUAAAUUCGUAAAAAAUAAUAUAAAUUACCUUAGUCUUAUAAAAAUACUAACCACGUAAUAAAAUAAAAAAUAAACUUGAUCUCAUCAGUUAACCACGUACUAUACUAACCACGUAAUAAAAUAAAAAAGAAACUUGAUCUCAUCAAGUAAGGCUUCAACUUUUUCCGGUAUAAAAUAUGAAAACUAAAAAAGAAACUUGAUCUCAUCAAGUAAGGCUUCAACUUUUUUCGGUAUAAAAUAUGAAAACUAUAAAAUAAAAGUAUCUUACCAUGUAUAAAAGUUAUUAUUAAAAUUAAAAUAUAUAUAUAUAUAUAUAAAAGAUUAGAACUAAUUUAGCAAGAAGCGGAAAGUAAACACUUUUGAAAGUGUAAAUACUUUUACUCUGUUGAAUUUUUUUGUAUUUUAUCGAUAACAGCAAAGUUAUGUAUUUUAAAGUUAGGAAAAAUAUUUUGAUGUUAAGCAAAACCUGCUCCAUCUCGUUUUACAUAAAUGUUGAAAAUUUGGUCGAAAUUGAUGCAUUGUAACGAAAGUUUUUAGCGAACACCACUUAUGAAAUUUGCAUUUUAUUAAUAUAGAUAUAUAUAUUAUAAAUUAUACAUUUUACAUGAAGGGCCAUAAUGAGGGCCAACAGCCCGAAACACGUCCGUGGUUAGCUUUUCUUGAUUAAUCAAGAAUGGAUAUUUGGCCAAGUCUGGAAUAAUUGAAAAUCAACGAGAAUAGUUGAUAUUUAUUCCGAUAGAUGGGGCAAGCCAUCAGAAACUUUCAGUUGCACGAAAGGAGAUGCCUUUUUUAUAAUUUUACAUAAAUCAGUACAAAGAUUACUAAAUUUGAAAUCCUAUUUAACAUGCCGUUGUGUGAAAGUUGUAUGCUGAAACAUAAUGUAUAGAUAAAACAUAUAUGAAUGAUACAUAAACUCAAUACAAAGUUUAUUAAAUUUGGAAUAAUAUUUAUCAUACCGUGAGUCAAAAGUUGUAUUUGUAAAUAUAAAGUUUGAUAAUUCUGGGAUCUAUUGAAAGGCAGUUACAUCUAUAUUCAACACUGUGAUUAUUAAAAGUAAUAUAUUCUAAACAUAUAACUUAUAAAGAGUGUUUUAUAGUUAUUUGUAAAUAUAGAUAGAAUAUUCUUCCUGAUUUGAAAUUAGACGAAAAACAUGGUGAAGGAAAACGAGUUUCUUUUAUUGAUGCAUAGGUGCAAGCUUUCGGGUGAAACCCUUCAACAGGCAAGCAAUGAAGCGCGACUUAUAAGAACUAUGGUACAAAUGUUAGGAAGAAUAUAUAUCCUUAUAUCUAUAAAAAUGAAAUGCGAAAUCGAUGUUUGUUAUCGCAUCACGCAAAAUCUACUGCCUCAAUCAUUAUGGAAUUUCGCAUGUAGGUAGCUGAAGAUUUCGUUUAACAUAUAGGCUAUUCAAAAAACUACAAAGGUUAAUGUACUUUUUUUAAAAAUUAUUUAACUGAAAUGGAUUAGUUCGCGCCUUUUGCCGCUUGGCGCCGCACUGGUCGCGACGAACUUGAUUGUGAUUGGCUAA